Molecule: ribosomal RNA, 392 nt
Filed under: uncultured bacterium
Lineage: Bacteria
Description: bacterial SSU rRNA
Rfam family: Bacterial small subunit ribosomal RNA
Source: RNAcentral
GUAACGCGUGGGCAACCUAACCCUGUACAGGGGAAUAACAAUGGGAAACCAUUGCUAAUACCUCAUAAUACCUUUUAGGGGCAUCCCUUAAAGGUCAAAGAAUUUCGGUAUAGGAUGGGCCCGCGUCGCAUUAGCUAGUUGGUAAGGUAAUGGCUUACCAAGGCAACGAUGCGUAGCCGGCCUGAGAGGGUGAACGGCCACACUGGAACUGAGACACGGUCCAGACUCCUACGGGAGGCAGCAGUGGGGAAUAUUGCACAAUGGGGAAACCCUGAUGCAGCAACGCCGCGUGAGCGAUGGAAGGCGUUUCGGGUCGUAAAGCUCUGUCCGUAAGGGAAGAUAAUGACGGUACCUUAGGAGGAAGCCCCGGCUAACUACGUGCCAGCAGCGGC